Molecule: microRNA, 22 nt
Filed under: Schistosoma japonicum
Lineage: Eukaryota; Metazoa; Platyhelminthes; Trematoda; Strigeidida; Schistosomatidae
Description: sja-miR-2a-5p
Gene: sja-miR-2a-5p
Source: miRBase by way of RNAcentral
CAGUCAAUAUUGGCUGAUGGCA